UAGGGAAUCUUCGGCAAUGGACGAAAGUCUGACCGAGCAACGCCGCGUGAGUGAAGAAGGUUUUCGGAUCGUAAAACUCUGUUGUUAGAGAAGAACAAGGACGUUAGUAACUGAACGUCCCCUGACGGUAUCUAACCAGAAAGCCACGGCUAACUACGUGCCAGCAGCCGCGGUAAUACGUAGGUGGCAAGCGUUGUCCGGAUUUAUUGGGCGUAAAGCGAGCGCAGGCGGUUUCUUAAGUCUGAUGUGAAAGCCCCCGGCUCAACCGGGGAGGGUCAUUGGAAACUGGGAGACUUGAGUGCAGAAGAGGAGAGUGGAAUUCCAUGUGUAGCGGUGAAAUGCGUAGAUAGAUGGAGGAACACCAGUGGCGAAGGCGGCUCUCUGGUCUGUAACUGACGCUGAGGCUCGAAAGCGGGGGGAGCAAACAGG
RNAcentral lists this ribosomal RNA (429 nucleotides) under Gemmatimonadota bacterium. Its description in RNAcentral is "Gemmatimonadetes bacterium partial 16S ribosomal RNA". It matches the Rfam family "Bacterial small subunit ribosomal RNA", at positions 355 to 776 of the family's 1533-position model. The record is from RNAcentral. Lineage: Bacteria; Pseudomonadati; Gemmatimonadota.